GAUGAACGCUGGCGGCAUGCCUAAUACAUGCAAGUCGAACGAGGCAUCUUCGGAUGCCUAGUGGCGAACGGGUGAGUAACACGUAGGGAACCUGCCCAUGCGGCCGGGACAACUUCCGGAAACGGAUGCUGAUACCGGAUAAGGAAAGCGAAGGCAUCUUUGCUUUGUUAAAGGAGCUGCAAGGCUCCGCGCAUGGAUGGACCUGCGGUGCAUUAGCUGGUUGGUGAGGUAAAGGCUCACCAAGGCGACGAUGCAUAGCCGGCCUGAGAGGGCGAACGGCCACACUGGGACUGAGACACGGCCCAGACUCCUACGGGAGGCAGCAGUAGGGAAUUUUCGUCAAUGGGCGCAAGCCUGAACGAGCAAUGCCGCGUGAACGAGGAAGGUCUUCGGAUCGUAAAGUUCUGUUGAGAGGGAAAAAGGGUCACCAGAGGAAAUGCUGGUGAAGUGAUAUUACCUUUCGAGGAAGUCACGGCUAACUACGUGC
RNAcentral lists this ribosomal RNA (487 nucleotides) under uncultured bacterium. Its description in RNAcentral is "bacterial SSU rRNA". It matches the Rfam family "Bacterial small subunit ribosomal RNA", at positions 28 to 508 of the family's 1533-position model. The record is from RNAcentral.